RNAcentral lists this unclassified non-coding RNA (400 nucleotides) under uncultured Cortinarius. RNAcentral describes it as "sequence contains ITS2". The stretch from base 1 to 154 matches the Rfam family "5.8S ribosomal RNA". Lineage: Eukaryota; Fungi; Basidiomycota; Agaricomycetes; Agaricales; Cortinariaceae. The record is from RNAcentral.
AACUUUCGACAACGGAUCUCUUGGCUCUCGCAUCGAUGAAGAACGCAGCGAAAUUCGAUAUGUAAUGUGAAUUGCAGAAUUCAGUGAAUCAUCGAAUCUUUGAACGCACCUUGCGCUCCUUGGGAUUCCGAGGAGCAUGCCUGUUUGAGUGUCAUUAAUAUAUCAACCUUCUCUUUUUGAGUGAUUUGGAUGUGGGGGUUUGCUGGCCUCUUAAAAGGUCUUGGCUCUCCUGAAAUACAUUAGCAGAACAACCCUGUUCAUUGGUGUGAUAACUAUCUACGCUAUUGAAUGUGAAGGGCAGUUUGGCUUUCUAACAGUCCUUGGACAAGCUCAUCAUUAAUGUGACCUCAAAUCAGGUAGGACUACCCGCUGAACUUAAGCAUAUCAAUAAGCGGAGGCU